This 517-nucleotide ribosomal RNA is filed under the name uncultured bacterium. RNAcentral's name for it is "bacterial SSU rRNA". It matches the Rfam family "Bacterial small subunit ribosomal RNA", at positions 15 to 518 of the family's 1533-position model. The record is from RNAcentral.
GAUCCUGGCUCAGGAUGAACGCUAGCGAUAGGCCUAACACAUGCAAGUCGAGGGGCAGCACAUGAAGUAGCAAUACUGAUGGUGGCGACCGGCGCACGGGUGAGUAACGCGUAUGCAACCUGCCUACAACAGGGGAAUAACCCGUGAAAGACGGACUAAUACCCCAUAAUACAGGGAUCCCGCAUGGGAAUAUUUGUUAAAGAUUUAUCGGUUGUAGAUGGGCAUGCGUUCCAUUAGCUAGUUGGUGAGGUAACGGCUCACCAAGGCAACGAUGGAUAGGGAACUGAGAGGUUUACUCCCCCACACUGGUACUGAGACACGGACCAGACUCCUACGGGAGGCAGCAGUGAGGAAUAUUGGUCAAUGGACGCAAGUCUGAACCAGCCACGUCCGCGUGAAGGAAGACGGCCCUACGGGUUAGUAAACUUUCUUUGGUAAGGGAAUGAAGUGAGCCACGUGUGGUCUUUUGCAUGUACCUUACGAAUAAGGAUCGGCUAACCUCCGUGCCAGCAGCUGC